Molecule: ribosomal RNA, 1232 nt
Filed under: metagenome
Description: bacterial LSU rRNA
Rfam family: Bacterial large subunit ribosomal RNA
Source: RNAcentral
UGAUGACGAGACGCUAAGGCGUUGAAGCAGUGUAUGUCAGACUUCCAAGAAAAGCUCGCAAUGUCACUAAUAAAAAAUGCCUGUACCAUAACCGACACAGGUGGGUAGAUAGAGUAUACUAAGGGGCGCGCGAUAACUCUCUCUAAGGAACUCGGCAAAAUGACUCCGUAACUUCGGGAGAAGGAGUGCCUUAUUUAUAAGGUUCAAUAACAAGAUCCAAGCAACUGUUUAUCAAAACACAGGUCUCCGCUAAGUCGUAAGACGAUGUAUGGGGGCUGACGCCUGCCCAGUGCCAGAAGGUUAAAGAAGUUGGUUAGUGUAUGCGAAGCUGAUGACUGAAGCCCUGGUGAACGGCGGCCGUAACAAUAACGGUCCUAAGGUAGCGAAAUUCCUUGUCGGGUAAGUUCCGACCCGCACGAAAGGCGUAAUGAUUUGGAUACUGUCUCGGAGAGAGGCUCGGUGAAAUAGACUUGUCUGUGAAGAUGCGGACUACCUGCACCAGGACAGAAAGACCCUAUGAAGCUUUACUGUAACUUGAAAUUGGAAUUGGACUUUGCUUGCGCAGUAUAGGUGGGAAGCGUUGAAAAUAUUCUUGCGGGAGUAUUGGAGCUAUCAGUGAGAUACCACUCUUGUAAUGUUAGAUUUCUAACUUUGAACCAUAAUCUGGUCAAAGAACAGUUUCAGGUGGGCAGUUUGACUGGGGCGGUCGCCUCCCAAAUGGUAACGGAGGCGUACAAAGGUUUCCUCUGAACGGAUAGAAAUCGUAUCUAGAGUGUAAAGGCAUAAGGAAGCUUGACUGUGAGACCUACAAGUCGAGCAGGGACGAAAGUCGGUCUUAGUGAUCUGACGGUACUGAGUGGAAAGGCCGUCACUCAACGGAUAAAAGUUACUCUAGGAUAACAGGCUGAUCUCCCCCAAGAGUUCACAUCGACGGGGAGGUUUGGCACCUCGAUGUCGGCUCAUCGCAUCCUGGGGCGGUAGUACGUCCCAAGGGUUGGGCUGUUCGCCCAUGAAAGCGGUACGCGAGCUGGGUUCAGAACGUCGUGAGACAGUUCGGUCCAUAUCCGGUGUAGGCGCUAGAAUAUUGAGAGGAGCCUUCUUUAGUACGAGAGGACCGAGAAGGACACACCGCUGGUGUACCAGUUAUCGUGCCAACGGUAAACGCUGGGUAGCUAUGUGUGGAGUGGAUAACCGCUGAGAGCAUCUAAGUGGGAAGCCCACCUCGAGAUGAG